ACGAACGCUGGCGGCGCGCCUAACACAUGCAAGUCGAGCGAUUAAACUCCUUCGGGAGAUAUAAAGCGGCGGACGGGUGAGUAAGGCAUAGAUAAUCUGGUCCAGAAUGGGGAAUAACCGGUCGAAAGGCUGGCUAAUACCGCAUACUCUAGCUGAGUGAAUGUCAGUUAGGAAAGGCUUCGGCCGUUUUGGAAUGAGUCUAUGUAGGAUUAGGUAGUUGGUGGGGUAAAAGCCUACCAAGCCUACGAUCCUUAACUGGUCUGAGAGGAUGAUCAGUCACACUGGAACUGAGACACGGUCCAGACUCCUACGGGAGGCAGCAGUGAGGAAUUUUGCGCAAUGGGGGAAACCCUGACGCAGCGACGCCGCGUGGAGGAUGAAGUAUCUCGGUAUGUAAACUCCUGUCAGUGGGGAUGAUGAUGACAGUACCCACAGAGGAAGCACCGGCUAACUCCGU
Molecule: ribosomal RNA, 457 nt
Filed under: uncultured bacterium
Lineage: Bacteria
Description: bacterial SSU rRNA
Rfam family: Bacterial small subunit ribosomal RNA
Source: RNAcentral